This 287-nucleotide long non-coding RNA is filed under the name Mus caroli (Ryukyu mouse). RNAcentral describes it as "predicted gene 28638 (MGP_CAROLIEiJ_G0005391.1)". Lineage: Eukaryota; Metazoa; Chordata; Mammalia; Rodentia; Muridae. The record is from RNAcentral.
AUUUGAAGUCCACCGUCACCCCUUCCUGGGUUGCUAUCUAUUGCAAAACCAACCAAUCAAUAUCCACAGGAGAGGGAUAGCAGCGCCUCGGGGAGAACCCCUCUGCCAGGAUUUGGGCAGAGUUUGUGGUUUCCUGGAAAGGAAUUGUUUUCACUGAAGAGUAGAUUAAAAGGCAACAUCUGUUCUGCAAGGUGAGAACCUACACUCUUAAACAUGUUAGGCUUUGCCACAGAAGUGAUUGUACUGCACACCUUGAGACCUAGCAACUUUCUUUUUUUUCUUUUCUU